AUUUCAGUUAAAAUCAAAUUCCGAGAGCAAGAAUAUACUUGUCAACUCGUAUAGUAUUUUUAUACCAAUAAUGCUCUGUUCGUCGAGAACUUUCAGUAUUGAUAUUGACUGUACUGCCGCAGAUUUUGAAUUUCAAAUCAUACUCACAUCACGUCAAGAAAAUGAAAUAUUUCGUCAUCUCUCACUAGCUAUUGAUUUGAUAGAGGCUUGAACGCAGUGCUAAGUCUAAAAAUCAGCAUAAAAGUGACGCAACCAAUGAGAGCUCUCAUGAAACUAUUACCAAGUCGCUAAAAAUGACAGCUCAUUUUUUUUAUGUCGUAAAAUGUGGAUAUUAUUUGAGUAUAUUUUAAUUACCUUCAAUUCUCUUUUCGCACUAGCGGGGCCGAAUUUUGCAAAAAAAAUUUGAAAACACCUGUGCUUAUGAUUUAUUUCAACAAUUUUGCACGUACAUAGAGAAAUAUUUGGAAUGAUUUGAUUGUGACAGCAAUUGUGAAUAGCGUGGUAGAUGCAAUGAAGCACUUAGAAAGAAGCAAGACAUCUCCAAAGCCCCAACAAUCUUAUUUAUUUCUAAGUACAGCCGGUGAUGGUAAAGGUUCACCAAUACAUAGCAAAUCACGUUGCUUGGAAAAAGAACUGGAAGCACGGCUCACACACUCUGUUCCACCGAUAAAACGGAUCAAGAUAUUGCCAUAUCGCAUAUAAAGAUCCAUUACAUUGACCAGGAGUGCGUUACAUUUGAUAUCAACAUAGACUACAAAAGCUGCGAAGAGGUUCCUUUUACUACUAUGAACAAUAAUGAAAAAAACUCGCAUACUAAUAACGAUACAACGAAUGCUAGAGCUUGCAGCAUUGCUAUACCUAAAGAACAAUCAAUUUGCCAUUCUUUACGCCUCCAAGAAAAUCCACAUUUUUUAAUUACUGCUAAAGGGUCGCAACUGGGUUAUGGAACACAUGAUAAAACUAAUACCGACGUGUCAACUGCAAUAACAACACCUUUACCUGAAAAUUUGAUAGAAAAAUCUCCUCAUGUUAACGAAAAUCUGAUAAAGGAUCAAACCUACAAACAUUGGCCAGAGAAGUUCAACAAAGUCGUGCCUAGAUCUGUUGAAAAACCAAGAGGUAGAGUUUGUGAUAAGCAGGAGGGAAAAAAUUCUAAGAUAUUAAUUUCAAACGACAAAUCAGAGGUGAUAACUACAUGCAAAAGACAAUCCAGAUCAACAGGUAAUAGAGAAAUUCUCAAAAAUAAAUCAAAUGAUUGUCAAAAAACUUCAUGCAGAAUAAGCGGAGAAACGAAGUCACCUAAAGUAAAGGAAGUGUCUUGUAAUACUGUUCUGUCCUCAGUUCCGCGUAUCAUUCCACAGCAAGCACCUAGACACAAGGGUCAGAAGGGAAAAGAGGGAAUAUUAGCUCAUUGCACUGAGAAAGUUGUGAAAAAAGUUAAAAAGAAGCAAGAUGUGCAUUUCUCGAAAAAAACUUCAGCAAAAGCCGACAUGCAGGAAAAGAUCGAAUUAGAUAAACAACGAAUUAAGAAAAAUAUAGAAAAUUUAAAAAAGAGUUACGAGGCUAAGAAAAAAUAUCGUCAAAAAAUUGUUGAAAUCAAAAAUUUACAAACAAAUAAUGCUCGUGACAACAAUGACUGUAUCAAUGCAAAGAAUGAGAACAAUGGAGCAGCUCGAACAAGAAUUUUCAAUCUUAAGAAGUCUAUACAAAUGGAUAAAAACUUUUCCACUUCCAAGAUUGAAUCUAAUGAUGUUAAUUCUGCACCUGAAACACAGCACAAGAAUGAGCCAAAAAGUAAAGCAAGUGACCCGACCAACUUGAAUUGUACAAAAUGUUGUAUUGAUUCCACUCGUAAUACUAUCCAGUCGAGCAAGGACGUAAAAAUAUGUUGCAAGAAAGAUGUCUCAAAAACAGCAGAGAUUGAAUCGAUAGCGAAUUUGAUAGAACCAUCGAACUGUGAUUGUAACAGACUGAAACAAUUGUUAGUUGCCAACAAAUUUUCGUCUAUUUCUGAAGAUAAAAUCAUGUAUAAUGCCAAUUCAAUAAAUUAUGGAUGCUAUUCUGAUCAACCAUAUCGUAAAGGACCCAACAAACAACAAGAUUACAGAAACUAUGCUAUUAAUGCAGAUAUAAAAUUGACCAAACUAGAAAAAGAUAAAAGCACUGUCAACGAUGAUGCAAAAUAUAAUCUUAUGAAAACCUUGAUACACCCAGCAUCUGAAAUUAAUGGUUCUCAAGGAUUGAAUAAUAAUACUAUCAAAUUUUCACUCUACAAACAUCAAUCGAAAGAUGGUCUAGCUAAUUGUAAGGAUGAAAAAACUCAAGACGUUUACAAAAACUCCGGAAGCAGCAACAGCACGGUGAAUGUUGAAACAGCAAGCUUAUCAAAUAUUGUAACACAGUUACCAGAUAACAUGAGUAAAAUGGAGAGCUAUGAGACUUUGAAUGCUGCUAAAAUCACAGCAUAUUUGAAACACCCGUCGUCAAGUAACACCUCAGACAAAAUAAUAUCGAAUUUGAAAACGAAUGGUUAUAAAUAUUCGAAAAAGUACAGACGUUUCAAUCAUAAAGAGAAAAAUAUGUGCUGCAAUAUGGCACGUUACAUUGAAAGAAUGGUGUCGAAUGAGAAAAAGUAUCAGAAACAUGAAAAGAAAAUUGAUCCACAGCGAGAAAACGUCAAAAUAAUCAUCGAUGAAAACAGCCCGAAAACCAGCCGAAUAAGAAUAGUGAACGAUAGAUCCAGUGUCAGUGUUGUUUGUCAUGGUUCGGAGAAAACAACAUCUCCAAGUAGAAGAAGUAACAAUACGGCAGCGAAAAAUACUGAAUCCAGCGGAGGAGAAAGCAGCGGCUAUAAAUCAUAUCACAACGAUUUGCACAAGAGACAUUUUGAUCACUCCGAUCAAGCCAAAAUCAACUCGACUGAGCAUCAACAAAUUGAACAUGUUACAGAAAGAAAAUUUCACAAUACGCAAACUAUUCUGUACCACAAUAUUAAUGAUGAUAGGUUUGAAAGUAUCUCCAGCCCCUUGGAUGAUCCUGUCAAUACGCAAUUCGUUGGAAUUAGAGAAAAUAUUAAAAGCCACCAGAAUUUAUGUGAAGAAAAACUCAAGAAGCGGGAUACCGAAACAAAAUACACUCUGUACGAUACAAAUAAAUAUUUGUCUGCAUUUACCAAUAGUCUGGACAUGUAUUUACCAUGUGAAAUUACUGCUUAUCAGAUGAAAGAAGUAAAUAGAAGUAAGGUUUUCCAAUUUAAUAAUCCAGAGCUUGAGGAGAAGGAUGUAGAUAAUGCUGAGAUGCGAAUUGGGAAAUAUUUAAUAGAGAAUAGUUCGGAUUCGAGAGAUGAGUUAUCAGAGGAAGAAGAAUCUAGUGAGCAAUUAAAUUCUGCGAGCGAUGCUAAAAUUGACAAGGAUAAAGUUAUAGUGCUGAAAAAGCCAAAUAAUGCAGUGCAGAGAAGUCUAGAAUAUGUUGUCAGUAAACGUUUCCUGGAUUUAAACAACACAGAAGGACAAGACAGUUUUAUACAUAUACCUACAGUACCGGCUCAGCAUAAAAUCAUUACGUCACUACAAGAUGUAAAGCAUGAAGAGAUUAGAGAAGCCUUUGAAACAUCGAGGAGCACAACAGAUCUAACAUCUGCCCUAGCGCACAACAAGGCUGCUGAACGAGUGAAAUCGAGCAUCAGUGAUAUUGAAACAGGCUCUGGCAAUCCAAAAUUGUAUCUAAUGGAUAAAAAAAUCGUUAUGGAAACGGACCCAGGAUAUAAGAGAAUUAAAUGUUCCAAACGACUAAAGAUCAAAAAUGAAAACUUGUAUGAUUCCAACAAAGUAUAUGAGUUGUGGGCAAAUAAUAAAUCGACUGCUAAUAGCACUGAUAAUGAAUCUCAGACAACCAGAAGGUUCAUUUGUGCACCAAGUGACUCGAAGAGAUGCCGUACAAACAAAUUUAAAUUCAAUAUAUUCAAAAAGAUCAAAUCUUGUAAGAGUGAAAAAACUACCCAUAUUCCUCUUGACCAGCUACCUAAACCACCCUCUUCGUUUUUGGAAAGCUCUGCGCCCUCGCAGUCUACAAUGUUGUCGUCAACAGCUGACACUGAUUAUUGGGAGUCAGAUACUGUUUUGAACCUUCACAAAGGUGCUACUUUGCUGCUUCAUACAAAUCCUGGUACAAAAACUUACACCGAUCCUACCCACAUAAAUCAUUCCAAAAGAAAUCACAUAACCGCUAGUCCUGAGGAAAAUCAUGAUCAUUUACAUCUUCAAUCGAACAAUCGUGCUUCAACUUCACAUAAAGAUACCGAGACUUAUCUGCAGUCAUCACCUGCACAUCCAAUAAAUGAAAAACAGCUUACUGCACCUCAUGUUCUGCAUACAGCUGCACCCCCGCCUCCUUCAGCUCUACCGCCACCUUAUCCCUUCUGUUGUCCAUUUGUUCCAUACAUGAUGCAGUACUGGCAAAAUUAUCAACAACCACCACCGGCUUCAAAGCUUCCACUACCUGACGGAGAUUGGCAACCGACUGUCAGAAAGAAUGGCAAUGAGCCACCACCUCCAGAUAUGGUUCCCAUUCCAUGGUUCCCACCAAUGUCAAAUGUACAUGAUCACCCACCACGUGCUGAAAUGAAUUUUACAACGUCAAAUAACAUACACGCUCAACCACCACCCGAGUGGCUAAUGAUGCCUAGAGGGUACGCACCCUGUUUUCCAUGCAGUAAUACUACUGAGUCUUAUUUGAGGAAAACUGAUUCCUCAGUUUGUAAGGAUGAUGAACCUCCUGUUGAAAUUAGCGAGAAUAAACAGGAUGAAAAAAAGAAAACAGUAUCUAGUAAAUUGUUCAAAAUAUUUCGGAGAAAAAAUCGUGCUGAAAUGGACACAUUGGAUGAUGAUGGCAAAAAAGGCAAAUAUCAUCGAUCUGGCUCGGAAGCUAAACUGGUUCGUAAAGUACAAGUGGUGGAAAAUGAAGAGAACAACACUAACGGUCAGAGCAUUUGGGAAUCUCCGGAUAUUGCUGGAAUCGUAACUCCAGAAGAAAUUGGACGAUGCUUUCGCAGAGGUUUUCGAGCAGAUGGAUUAACCCUGGCCGGGGACGAGUACGUGUGUACAAGAACACCAAGUGACACAACUUCGGAACAGGAAGAGAUAUUCAAUUUCUCUGACCAUGAUACGCCACUUGAUUUUCUAUUAGCUCUUGGAUUUAGCGUUGAUGAAGCUACUGCUGCAAUUAGGGAUGACGAAGUACGAAAUCGAUUUAAAGCAGCCCUUACGGAGCCUACCUGAAAAUUUUGGAAAAGGUUGAAGAGGGAUACGUGUCUUUUGUCACCCUAUUUGGAAAAGAUAAAGGCAAUGAAGAUGAUGAGGAUACUGCAAUGAUGGAAAAACAGCGCCGUCGUAUAUUCUACAC
This 5400-nucleotide unclassified non-coding RNA is filed under the name Neodiprion lecontei (redheaded pine sawfly). RNAcentral describes it as "uncharacterized LOC107227117, transcript variant X1". The record is from RNAcentral. Lineage: Eukaryota; Metazoa; Arthropoda; Insecta; Hymenoptera; Diprionidae.